AAAAAAAAAAAAACAUGUACAGGUUUUCGUGCUUAGACUAUUCCUGUUUAGCAGUGCAAACAGGCUUUUCUGGUGCAGACUGCCAAAUUAAGGCAUUCUUGACAAUCAAAUUCCAGGUGUCUCAAGCUAGAUUGGGAAAUACAACAAGGGGCAAUGUGUUUAACCCCUCAGGUACGACAAGAUGGCUGUCAUAACAAACCAGCUUUUAAAAGGACCUUCAAACGUAGGCUCCUUGCAGCUAUAAGCAUACUGCUUUUAUUCCACACAGAAUAAAAAGUUAUACUAUCACGCACACAGUUCAAAUCUCCACCUUCUCUGAGAGAGCCUGUGUAUAUCUGUUGUUGGCAAAAUUCCCCAAACUGUACAGAACAGUUAAUAAACAGAUAUCAGCUAUCCGUAGCUAUUAUCUGUGCAUUGAACAAUUUCAUUAAUAUAAUCUUCAGGGCUACUGAUUGGCAGAGCCUAUUCCUGUGUCUGUACAGCUCACCGCUCCUGAAGAGAUUUCCUAGGCAUAGGCAUGCGCAGCCUAGUGCAUUAGGGUGUGCACCCUAAAGCACAAACAUAAGCC
Non-coding RNA from Pelobates cultripes (western spadefoot toad), 568 nucleotides. The record is from the annotation of a GenBank genome assembly. NCBI's taxonomy places the organism in Eukaryota, Metazoa, Chordata, Amphibia, Anura, Pelobatidae.